RNAcentral lists this long non-coding RNA (388 nucleotides) under Sinocyclocheilus anshuiensis. Its description in RNAcentral is "lncRNA (ENSSANG00000020178.1)". Lineage: Eukaryota; Metazoa; Chordata; Actinopteri; Cypriniformes; Cyprinidae. The record is from RNAcentral.
GACGAGGCCAUGAACAUGAUCCACAAAGCUUUUGCCAUGUUAGAUGAGGAAUUCCAGAAACUAGACAGAGAAAAGGAAGCACUUGCGCGGGACACAGAGGCUCUACAGAAUGAGCGCGACGCUCAGAACCAGCAUCUGCUGAGACAGAAACAGGAACUUCAGGAUAUGCUGGAAAGACACAGGACUCAGAACGAGGCAUGGCUGCGUGCGCGAGCAGACGAGAACGACAGGGAGAGGAAGGAGCUGUGUAAACUAAGGGAGGAGGUGCUCCAGGAGCAGGAGAGGCUGAAAGAGGAGCAGUGCAAUAUCCAAAAACGCAGUGAGCAGCUCCUGUCCAUUAUGCAGCAGUUCAAAGGCAUGUGAAGACACUGUCUCCAUGGCAACCGCA